RNAcentral lists this non-coding RNA (148 nucleotides) under uncultured Selenomonas sp. Lineage: Bacteria; Bacillati; Bacillota; Negativicutes; Selenomonadales; Selenomonadaceae. The record is from RNAcentral.
ACGGGUGCCGUGAGGCUUAAUAGAGAAACCGGUGCGAUGCCGGUACGGUCACGCCACUGUAAUGCGGAGAAUCUCAUAAUAUGUCACUGGCAGUUUGCUGGGAAGGCUUGAGGUUUGAUGAGGCAGAGUCAGGAGAACUGCCAGUCUG